Molecule: long non-coding RNA, 1058 nt
Organism: Pseudophryne corroboree (corroboree frog)
Lineage: Eukaryota; Metazoa; Chordata; Amphibia; Anura; Myobatrachidae
Exons: 8
Source: RefSeq, a predicted model, not a curated record
UAGUUUAUUUCCUGUUUCAUCACUCAGCCAGAGUGGGUGCGGCAUGGGAUGCUGCCCCCGCGCUCUUACUGUUGCCGGCCCCACAGCGAAGCACUGCAGGAGAGGAGACUGAGAAGACAGCCCUUGCUGCUGGGAGCUGACUGAGCUCUCAGGCUGUCAGGGGGCGGAGCCAAGCUCAGGCAGACGUUGGUUAAAGACAGAAGACCCACACUCCGGAGGAGCAGAGGUGACAUGAAGUGUCGCCACCUUUCUCCUGGAUCUGAUGCUCCGCCCCCCUGCAGUGUCUCUAGGGAGAGACAUGAUGACAUAGGGGUUUGAGGAGGAGGCAUUCCAGCUCACAGUGCAGCAGCAGCAGCCCAGUGACCUCCGGUGACCUUUUCCCCACCUGCCGUCAGUCACAGAGCUUGGGGUGGGAGCAGUACUGUUCAGGAUUGGUAAUUUAUUAAAGUCCUUUUUGGUGAUACUUAUUGAAGCCGAGGUGGACUGUAGGGUUCCAUUAUCCCUGAUGAGAUUAGGGAAUAUAACAUCACCUAACUUCAACCUAAAUUGUCAUUUUCUGUUAUGAUGUAAUCUAUUUAGAUACCAUAUUAAUUGAAAACAUACUUGUAAUUGGAUGUAACAUUGAGAACCCUAACCAGUCAUAACCAGUGGUAAUCCAAUCUAUUAUAAGAACUGCGCUCACCGCCGCUGUUGUAGCGGGUUGCCGUGCUAACGCUGCCGGGAUCGUAGUGCUGCGUGCUGGAGUCACUGGAAUCUGGAAUCUGGAAACCGGAAGUGCGGGCGGCCCCAGCGGCGCUGAGAGAUGCAGAUGGACACACUGUCUUUCUUGAAGGUAUAGGCAACGGCUGCCGGGAUCCGGUGCAAACGCGGCACCCGUCGCACGUUGUGUGACGUCAUCCACUGCAGCCACGGCCCCGGGACCAUGAGCCUAACACUGUGGGUGUAUUUUCUAUAUAAGAAAUGAUAAAAUGGAGAAAAGAACCGAAAUCUUACAUGGACAUUUUUAUUUUAAAUCUCUACCAGACGUCAGAGUUGAUAAAACCAAAGUUAUUUGUAAA